Long non-coding RNA from Egretta garzetta (little egret), 791 nucleotides. RefSeq lists it as uncharacterized. NCBI's taxonomy places the organism in Eukaryota, Metazoa, Chordata, Aves, Pelecaniformes, Ardeidae. The transcript is spliced from 3 exons. The record is from RefSeq and is a predicted model, not a curated record.
GAGCCGCGGCCUUUCCUGUGAAGGGAGCCGCCCACGGGAGAGCGGGGAAAGCGUCAGAGGGCGUUUGGUUCCUACGCUUUGAACAAUAACAAAGGCUGAAGAAAAAUAAAAGCGGCUGUGUGCCAGCCCAGGGUGGAACAGCACUGCGCAAGGCUGCUUCCCCUUCGAAGAACAAAGUGCGUGUGUUGUGGAGCGGCGUUAAAAAAACCCCACCCGAGACUUAAAACUCCAGAUGGACGCAAAAAGAGAGACAAACCCCAAAGCAAUUACUGUCCCACGUUCAGCUUUUAUUAGGUUAAGCGUUCGUAGAGGAACACUGCAAAUAAGCGUUCCUGGAAGAAAAUACAGAGCAGCGCCUGCUGCCGCUGCAGGCGUGAAUACAGUUGCUGUUACGACAACCUUUGGUUUAACAAAUUGUGGCCUCCACAUGCAAAAUUCUGUGGAUCUUCCUCAUUGCAGGGUUUGCAAAUAAAACGUUCUUCAUCAGGCGGCAGCAGGACCCACCGGUCCCUCUGAAACAGCAUCUGUACUGUGCGCAGGUUGAACUCUGCUAGAUCCUUACAGUGAUGAAUGGGAGCAGAAAGAGCUUGAACUGAGUCUAUGUUUGCAGGCCGGUACAGGAGGGUCCCAGCUGAAGUCCUCUUGGCACUGAACCUGACUGAUGCCUUCCAACGUGUAACCGUCAUCACAUUCAAGGGUGAUGUUCGUCCCAGAGCGGAGUGAAAAAUGCUUUUGCCGGGCUACUGAGAGACCCAUGGACGAUACCUGCAGGCUUGGAACAGUGCAGCUCU